UUGUAUACAGUUUUAUGUCAGAUUGAAUUCCUUGUGCAGAAAUUCUUUCCUAGCAUACAGUUGACUUUUUCUAGAAUUAGUCCAGAGUAGAGUGCCUGAAAAUUUGAUGCUUUAUGUGCAAUUGAGGUGCAUGAAUGGAUUUAAACUUACUCUGCCUAAUUCUUGUACCACUAGUACUGAGACUACGGUAACAAAGGCAUCAGUGCAGGUUAGCAGCCUAAGAAGGGCUUGAGGCCCUGAAAACUUUCCAAAGCAAGGGCUCAGAAUGUGAGAGGGCAUUCUUAUAUUUAAAAAAAAAUCCCAAAACCACCGCCACCCCAACAAAUCCCCCCACUGUUAGAAUAUACUAUGUAGAAUCUGAAUAUAUGUAGAUGUUGAGACACAGCUGGUUGAGUUUAAUAAACAAUAAUCCUUCUUAUGUGCAGGGAAUCAUAUGGAUUUUCUUCCUGUGCCUGUAUAAACUUUGUACCCAUUGAUACUUCUAUAACUGUUCUCAUUUAGUAUUGUUAAUUGCUUCCUUUUAAGCAAGAAGUUGGUGGUAAGAAAGGAAAUCUCUUAACUGCUGUCUGUAAAAGGCCAAUCACUUUCACUUGCAUGCAAUUAGAAAUGUUUUUAUGUAACAUUUUAAGCCUCCCAAUAGUUGCAUUAAUCUCAGAAACAGGCUAUAGUUGUUGUCCUGUCUUAUUGGUAACAGUGUAUUUCAGGAAAACACUUGGUUGUAUGCUUUUAUUUAAAAAUACAAGGAGUAUGGUAACAUUGCAAGUAAUGUGUUAAGGACCUGGCAGGUCUCUUGGGCUUAUAGGGAGUUUAGAAAGCAAUUAAAAGGAAUAAGAGGUGCUAGGAAGGAGUGAAGUUAUUUCUUUAUGCUGCUCUUCACCACAAGGAUGUUGUGAGCAUUUUAUUCUUUUCAAAUAAUGUUGAUUGGAUGUUAUCUGAUUAUGGGAUUAGAGUGGCAAAAGACUGAAUGCUAGAAUGAAGUGCUAAAGACUCCUAAGUCACCAGGACUCGGUGCUAUUCAUUCCUUUAGUGGUUGUAAAGGAUGAAGUGGCUGAUCUGCUAAGAAGAAUGCAUCUCGUUAGGAUGAGAUGCUGUGCCAGGAGACCGGAAGCUGUCAAGUGCUGUACAUACUGUACUUCUAAACUGAACACAAAGAGCAGAGCUGGAAUUUGCAGACCAAGGACUCUUAUUUUAAUGCCACUUAAGUAGCUUUGAAUUCUGCAUGGAUAGUCUAGUAGUUCAGUGAGCACAAGAUACAACAGCUUUCUAUGCAGUUGUAUCUUAGAGGUAAUGAAAAAUACCAGCUGCAGCUGGGGUACUUGUCAUGUGUCUCUUGCUUGUGUGUUUGUUCCCUAAUAACAAGGGCAUAGGCUGCAGUCUGUACUUCACUUUCGUCUCUUUGUGGGUUGGUCUUCUAUAUCUAUCUGCCCAGUACUUGGAUUUUUGAAGUCUCUGAAUUCUUAUUGAACUAUAAAUGUCUUUUCAAUUUUCCUUUUUGAUAAAGUUUGAAAUCAGGUAGUGGAUUUGAAAGUUAUAAAAGGCCAGGCCUAACCUAAGCAGACAUGUUUAACUGCAUUAAUCUCUUCUGUGUUUAGCAGUCUAAACAAUGACUAAGUUGCUCCUGUUAUUAGCAGACAAGAGAGGGAUGAACCUAUACACUGAUACACUCACGCACCCUGUUUAGUUCAUCCCACCUUAAACUUGCAGUGUAUGGCCUUUGGCAGGAAAUUAUAUCCCAUGCAAUUUUUGUGAGGCUCUACAGGUCUUCAUUUUUGAUGUCAUUGUGGGGAUGAUGACCAGUGACGCAGAGGUGGAGCUGAAAGUUAAAGCAGUUCAGUAGUAUGCUAUGCUGCUUUCAGUGGCAAAGCUGUGAUGUACCUUGUAGUUUACACUCAGGUGACAACAGCAGUUUCUUAAGUACUGACAACUGUAGCUGCAAUUGGCUGUGUGGUCUUGUUCCCUCACUUGCCCUCCUGUUGAAUUAGCACAGUGAUUUGUGCCAUCAUGCAGUGACUUGAAUCAGAAAAUUGAUCCUGACUUCGAGAGGGGUCUGUGGCAAGCAGCAAUUUCUAACCCAAGCUAGUUCCUCACUCUGGUCUAGUGGGUGGCUCCACCAGGAGAUGGGAUCAUGGCCUAAGGAUGAGAACAAGCAGCAGGAGGGUCCUCUCUCUUUGAACUGGCAUUUUACCGAAUAUAUGCUCAUCAGAUUAUGCCUCUAGAAUCUGUGACUCAUCUUGCCCUCAAUUUAAUUACUUCAGAUGAUCUGUACAUUUUCAAUAAUGGCAAUACAUUCAUUCUGCCAUUUGGAGGAGCCUGUGCCACAGAAUAAUGAUCUGAAGAAAGCUCACUCAUUUGCAAGGAAGAGUCUUCAUUUGGGAAUUAGCACUGAUGCAGCUCAAGGGUGCUUCUUCAAGUCCAGACUCUUUCAGCAGAACUGUUAUUUUCCUCACACAACCUCUGGUACGAGGAUAAAAUUGGGUUUUUGUCAAAGAACAGAGUCCUGUAUCUAAACAGUGAGAAGGUCCUUGACAUUCAGUGGGAUGAGAAUCUCAGAACUGACUACUGGGGACUCCCAAGCUACAGAUCAGAAACCAUCUUGGUAGGUGUGGAUUGCUUGUCAGAAAUCCGUUCCGAAGCUUGAGUGCAAAGGAAGCAGGGUACUAACGAUGAAUAAGAAUGGAAAUCUUGAGGAUAACAAUGGAUACAGCAUCUUCAAAAGUAGUGGCAUUCUGGUCCUGGUCCUGCAACUGGAUUUGUUCAAAUGGACCUCGAUAGCCUGGGGACCUGAUGAACUUCGUGGGACUCUGGUGACUGCAGGUUCUCACUCUGAAGAUCUGAUUGUAGGCCUGAACAUAAAUUUCUAUUUCGUUCUCCUGUCUGUUUGCUUCUUAAAUGAUGAAAAUUAUCCUUUAAAAUGGUGUUGUCGUUGAGUCUCAUGCACAUCCACUUUAGUAAUGUUCAGACACUGUGUGCCUGGGAUGUUGUCAGACGUUGUUAAAUUAUUUCUUUUCUGUUGUGUGCCUAAACCUCAUGAUUGCUCUGAUUAUUGUGUUAGAUUUUUUCCAUUUAGUGCCUUUCUACCUAAAAUGGAGGCGAUAAUCGCCUGUGUUUUCAAUCGUUGUGGUAUUUCUUUUAACUCAGAUUUUUAAGUCAGAGUAACUGGUGAAACUGUUCAUGUUAUUUUUAAAGAGGUAGGUAGAUUUGUUUAUUUCUUGCUGGACACAAAGUAUAAUAUUUUAAUUUGCAAACUUGGUAGCCUAUUAUUACUGAAAGCUUUCAAUAUGAUGAUACUCUGAUGUAAUAAAAAGAGUAGGAAA
Long non-coding RNA from Pyrgilauda ruficollis (rufous-necked snowfinch), 3314 nucleotides. RefSeq lists it as uncharacterized. Lineage: Eukaryota; Metazoa; Chordata; Aves; Passeriformes; Passeridae. The transcript is spliced from 6 exons. The record is from RefSeq and is a predicted model, not a curated record.